UACGUAGGGGGGCAAGCGUUGUCCGGAAUCAUUGGGCGUAAAGAGCGUGUAGGCGGCUUGGUAAGUCCGCUGUGAAAGUCCAGGGCUCAACCCUGGAAUGCCGGUGGAAACUGUCAAGCUUGAGUCCGGAAGAGGCGAGUGGAAUUCCUGGUGUAGCGGUGAAAUGCGCAGAUAUCAGGAGGAACACCGGUGGCGAAGGCGGGUCUCUGGGUAGUAACUGACGCUGAGGAACGAAAGCGUGGGUAGCGAACAGG
Molecule: ribosomal RNA, 254 nt
Filed under: uncultured bacterium
Lineage: Bacteria
Description: partial 16S ribosomal RNA
Rfam family: Bacterial small subunit ribosomal RNA
Source: RNAcentral